Molecule: long non-coding RNA, 2097 nt
Organism: Esox lucius (northern pike)
Lineage: Eukaryota; Metazoa; Chordata; Actinopteri; Esociformes; Esocidae
Source: Ensembl
CUAGGGUGGAGGUAAACUUAAUAAUAAAUGCUUGUCAGUUUAACACAAUCCUCAAUGGAGUCACUCGCUCUUCUUAGCAGACUCCGCUUACGCGGUCCGGCAAAAAUUAAAUUUAGUACAACAACCUUUUUUACACCACAUUUUAUAUCCACUGCUGUCUCUGGUAUUGACCCUUCUGUUAUUUAUUUUUUAUUAAACUAUAACUGAUACACUUAACAAUGUAGUAGAAUAAUAACCAAUUAUGAAUGAACACAGUUUUGUUUAUUGAUGGAGUUCAGAUCAUAUCCAGAUUACAUAAAGUUGAUUUCCUUAAUAACAAACAAAAACAUAUUUUUCCAAACAAAUAAAAUAAAUAAUCCUUUUUGGCCUGGUGAUCCAGAAGUUUUCAUGAGGAUAUGUUGUUUAAUAUUGUCCCAUACACCUACAGUUCAAUCAUCUCCUCCCCUUCAUCCUGCGCAAAUAGGUAUGUGGCAAAUUCUAAGAAAAACAAUGAAAUCUCAUGCCAAGCUGUCACCAAGCACCUUUUGACUCCUACCACAGUCACCCCAGACACCAUAAAUAGUGAAAAGAGGACAGAAAGAAUAAUGAACAUGAAAAACCAACGGUAAAUGUAGUAAGUAAUCUUCUCCUGACGUGUCUUCUGAUCCCAAGGUAAGGCAUUGCGGGCCUCUGUAUAGCGGAUUACAUUUAGCAUUGCAUCGUCCUCCCCAUUCAUCCACCCCAUGGCCUCCAGCAAUGCUUUUUCCUCCUCGGUCGCAUCCCCCAGAGCUUUCUUUGCAUUCUCCUUCUGAUCUUUAGUAACCCUGUCUCCCUGUGCCAUUUUUUCCUUCCUUUAUUAGUUGAUUCUAUUAACCAAGUCACCUUGAUACCUCUUGGCUUGUAGUCCACCAAUUGUCUUCUGCUUAAAAAUUAUCCUUUGAAUGGUUCUUUUAAAACUUAAUAGAAGCCUUUUACAGUGUGCUUGUUUUCUUCGUGUCAGAGCUCAAGUGUCUUCUGGAGCAGCUUGUAGUAGACUGGCUGCAUGGGCCGAUUAGCUAGGUCAAGGUACCUCACUAAGAAGAUAUAUGGGAUUAAAGACAUUAUCAAGAACGUUGGCAAAUACGUACGCGGCAAUGUUGAAGAAAAAGGCUUUGAUCUUUACCCAGUUGGACACCCACCAUAUUUUAUAGAGAGUCUCCCCAAACAUCACAAAGAGGAAGAGGGUGAUGAAGAUGAGAAAGCAGCGGUCUGUGUAGUAGGUGCAAAUGAAAGUGACAACAGGUGCACUGGAGAGGCAACAGCAAGACAACCCCCAAAAAAGGGAAUGGUUUUGCAGUCUUCCAGUACAGUCUCAAGAGCGUGGAGGAGAUACCAGGACAUGGGCUGUUUCAUGAGGAGAGCUGGACAGGACCGUAGAAGGGCAUCAACCCAGCAGCAGGCCAUUGGCGCCCUUUUCUUUUCACAUGAGGUUGCACAGACCUCCAUGUGCUAGUCAACGGUACCCUGACUGCUGUUAGGUACCGGGAUGACAUCCUCAGACCCAUCGUCAGAUCUUACGCUGGUGCAGUGAGCCCUGGGUUCCUACUGGUGCAGGACAAUGUCUGGCCUCAUGUGGCUAGAGUGUGUAGGCAGUUCCUGGAUGACGAGGGUAUUGAUGGCCCUCACGUUCCCCAGACAUGAAUCCAAUUCAGAACCUCUGGGACGUUAUGUAUUGUUGCAUCCCACGCCGCCAAAUAGCGCCACAGACUGUCCAGGAGCUCACUGAUGCCCUGAUCCAUGUCUGGGAGGAGAUCCCCUGGACACCAUCUGCCGUCUCAUCAGGAGCAUGCCCAGACAUUGUUGGGAGUGCAUACAGGCACGUGGGGGCCAUACACACUACUGAGUCACAUUAUGAGUUUGCCAUGAUGAAAAUCACGUAAGUUGGCAGAGCCUGUGAUUUUGUUUGUUUACAUUGAUUUUCAGUGUGAGUUUGAAUCCAGCCCUCAAUUGGUUGGUGAUUUUGGUUUCCAUUGACUGUCAUUUUGUUCUCAAUGAAUUACACAAUGUACAGUAAAGAGUUUGAUCCUACAUACACUGUACCCACAUUAACUGCUUUGGGAAAUUAAAAAUCAUAUCAAG